ACUUAAAUAAUUUAAUAAAAAUAUUGAUUUGUGGUUUCAAAAAUAUGGAUUAUCCAUUUUAAGUU
RNAcentral lists this transfer RNA (65 nucleotides) under Stigmella roborella. Its description in RNAcentral is "tRNA-His". The record is from RNAcentral. Lineage: Eukaryota; Metazoa; Arthropoda; Insecta; Lepidoptera; Nepticulidae.